RNAcentral lists this unclassified non-coding RNA (405 nucleotides) under soil metagenome. RNAcentral describes it as "partial contains 5.8S ribosomal RNA, internal transcribed spacer 2, and large subunit ribosomal RNA". The stretch from base 1 to 121 matches the Rfam family "5.8S ribosomal RNA", at positions 35 to 154 of the family's 154-position model. The record is from RNAcentral.
GAUGAAGAACGUAGCGAAAUGCGAUAAGUAAUGUGAAUUGCAGAAUUCAGUGAAUCAUCGAAUCUUUGAACGCACCUUGCGCCCUUUGGCCAUUCCGAAGGGCAUGCCUGUUUGAGUAUCAUGAACACCUCAACUCUUUAUGGUUUUCCAUGAUGAGCUUGGACUUUGGGGGUUUUGCUGGCCUAUGGUCGGCUCCUCUAAAAUAAAUCAGCUUACCGGUGUUUGGUGGGUAUCAUGGGUGUGAUAACUAUCUACGCUUGUGGUUUUUCCACCAGGUAACCUUCGACAGCGGAGGUUCACUGGAGCUCAUAGAUGUCUCUCCUCAGCGAGGACAGCCCUUUGAAUGUUUGAUCUCAAAUCAGGUAGUACUACCCGCUGAACUUAAGCAUAUCAAUAAGCGGAGGA